CACGUAGGCGGCGAUUUAAGUCAGAGGUGAAAGCCCGGGGCUCAACCCCGGAACUGCCUUUGAGACUGGAUUGCUUGAAUCCUGGAGAGGUGAGUGGAAUUCCGAGUGUAGAGGUGAAAUUCGUAGAUAUUCGGAAGAACACCAGUGGCGAAGGCGGCUCACUGGACAGGUAUUGACGCUGAGGUGCGAAAGCGUGGGGAGCAAACA
This 207-nucleotide ribosomal RNA is filed under the name uncultured bacterium. RNAcentral's name for it is "partial 16S ribosomal RNA". It matches the Rfam family "Bacterial small subunit ribosomal RNA", at positions 568 to 774 of the family's 1533-position model. The record is from RNAcentral.